CACAAGCGGUGGAUGAUGUGGUUUAAUUCGAUGCAACGCGAAAACCUUACCCACCUUUGACAUGUACGGAAUCCUCUAGAGAUAGAGGAGUGCUCGAAAGAGAGCCGUAACACAGGUGCUGCAUGGCUGUCGUCAGCUCGUGUCGUGAGAUGUUGGGUUAAGUCCCGCAACGAGCGCAACCCUUGUCAUUAGUUGCUACGAAAGGGCACUCUAAUGAGACUGCCGGUGACAAACCGGAGGAAGGUGGGGAUGACGUCAAGUCCUCAUGGCCUUUAUAUCCUGGGCUACACACACGCUACAAUGGUCUGUACAAUAGGUUGCCAAGCCGCGAGGCGGAGCCAAUCCAUAAAGCAGGCCUCAGUUCAGAUUGCAGUCUGCAACCCGACUGCAUGAAGAUGGAGUUGCUAGUAACCGCAGGUCAGCUAUACUGCGGUGAAUACGUUCCCGGGUCUU
RNAcentral lists this ribosomal RNA (453 nucleotides) under uncultured Alicycliphilus sp. RNAcentral describes it as "bacterial SSU rRNA". It matches the Rfam family "Bacterial small subunit ribosomal RNA", at positions 924 to 1382 of the family's 1533-position model. The record is from RNAcentral. Lineage: Bacteria; Pseudomonadati; Pseudomonadota; Betaproteobacteria; Burkholderiales; Comamonadaceae.